ACAUGUGGGUGUGGUAAGCAAGCUGCAUCAGGUGGAAGAGGAUUACAUUAAGAGAAGAAAGUAUUUGUCCCUGAUUUUAUAUAGCACGGAUAAAAAAAAAUAAAGAGUGUAGAAGGCAUUGCACUACGAAAUAGAAGAGGGAGUUUCCAGAGGAGGUUUCCAGUCUCACCUGGAAAAUGGGUCAGUGACAAUUGCAGUCCAAAGAAGAUAAGAAAAAGUUAAUCAGGGAUAAGAAAAAGUCCUGGAAUGGGAAAAGCACUCUUGAAGCUCACAGAAGAAUGGAGCAGAAGAGGAUGGAUAUGCAGCUGACAACAACCUCUAUAUGAAGAGAAACUUUGCAGCUGGUGUAGCAGAAGGGAUUUUGGCCAGCAGGAUCUGCAGCAGAGGCUGAGAUACCAUCUGGAAUGUCAAAAGCUUUUACCGUUCUGAGAAGUGUGUGCAGAGGUUUGUUUUCAAUUUGCUUCUACUUGGUGUCUUUACUUACUUAGGGCAAAAGUGCUACAGGUAAGUAACACGUUUUCUUAAAGACUUUUCUUACAGUCUUCAAUUGUCUUCAAUUUUAUUUUUACAUUUUGAAAUUUUGCAUAUCGUGCAAACACAAGGAAACACUGUAUGCCAGGCUACCUACUUCCAAGGGCAUUUCAUUGCCGCAAGGAAAGUUCUGCAAAACAAAGUGAUAAAUUUAAAUAUACAGUGGCUCAUUAUAUUAAAAAAAAGAGCAUUCUUAGAGAGAAUUUUGUAUUUUUACAAUGACAUUCUACUGCAUUAUAGUUGCAAAAUCAAUAGAUUAAAAAUAUGCAGAAAUUUUUUAAACUCUGACAUUUCAUAUCAAGCACAGUCCUACUUGCUUAAAUUGGGGCACAUAUGUUACUCAAAUAUGAUAUGUUCAGUGUAAAUCACUGGAAAUAUAGUGUGUCACUGAACAAUCAGCCUUUGGUAAUCUCACUCUAUAAUACCACACAAAGAUGUUAAUGUUGCCCCAAUUAGUUUUUUCUAUCUGUUAUCAUGUAAACAUCAUACACUCCCAAUUAUGUUGUUUCAGUUGCUGUUGGGAUGGAGCAAUAAGUGCUGAAGGUUUUGGAGCUAGCAGCUCUCUCUGCAAGCUGGCAUUCAACACAAAAACAACAUUUUAGCUUUCCUGAAAUAGUUGGCAGUGUGCUUAACCUGGGCAUAGAAAUACUUUGAAAGGUAUUUGCACACAACAUUGUGGUAGUAACUUAAUAUUCCAGAAGUAAAUCUUGUUUUGACUAGGUUUAAGACUAGUAUUAUACCACUUAUACAGUUUUCAAUUGAUCAUGUAUUACCAAAGGUAUGGGAUCAAGUUCAAGGUCUCAAAAUCGCAGUUGCUACUUGAUGCAUUUUAAAACUCUGAGCAGUGCUCUCUAAGCGAUGGCAUAUGUAAUGUUCAACUUUGCUAGUAUAGCUAAGGUAGACACUGACAAACUUGUUAUAGCCUUGCUUGUGGAGUGCAGUCCCCAUUAUAAUGAAGUUUUAGCUAAAUUUUCAGUGUGAUAGACUGAAACAAAGUUUAGGAGGCUUUUAUGGAGACACUGUUUAACAAAUGCCUGAUAGAUCAGUCUAUUCACAGAUGAGACUUAUAAAUGCUCAUUAAAUUAGAAAGGCAACAAUCACUUAGCUCGUAUAUAUUGUGAGAUACAUAUUUAAAAUUAAAGCAUUUAAUGACAUCUGAUUAUUAGAAUGAAAAAUAGUGUAUAAAGCUAUUCAAACUUGCUGCCUUCCUGUCUUAGCAACCACACCAUAGAUACCCAAAAAGCAGCUUGGGUCUGUCCUGGCUGCUUGGCUCAGCAUACAAGAAUAUGAGCAGUGCUGAAACUGCCCCCAGCUCUGCUUUGGAUCACGCUGCUCUGGGCUAUGCUGUAGAAUGUCUCCAGGUACCACAUGUACACAGCAGAGAGCACUUAGUGCACUUUGGGAAAUGUCAGGAAGUAUUUCUAAUUAUCAAUAUUUGAGCAAUGCUACCUGUUCAGGCCAGCCUGCUCAGAAUUUAGCACUGCUGAUAUUUUCUUUUGAUGAAGGACAUGAACAAAAUAACAUCUGGAGAUAUUUAACAAUUCCCUCCGCCUCUUAAUAAAUGAAUGUCUCAGUUGAUGAUUCACUGCCGCAAAUUUUCUAGUAACUGGCAACUUUCUGUUGCCAAUUAUUUAAAUAUCAAAAUAAUAUAUUUGCCUGAAGCAAUGAAAAAAAGAGAAGAAAAAAAGAAGAGCUGGCAGUUAUUUCUUACAUUAUAAAAAGCUUGAUUCAAACAGUUCAUCCAAUUAGCAAAACAGUAAAUUAGCCAAAAGAUACACUAUGCAAAGUGUUUAAUCCUGCUUUCUUUUACAUUGUGUUUUGCUUUCCAUUCCAAAAUAGCUACCAGCAAGAGAGAGAAGAAUCCAUUUCACAAAUCCUUCCAUCUGGCACAGCAUCCCUUGGAAGAGUAACUGUUUGAACACCAAAAGCUUUAAAGGGAGAGAGACUAUAUCUGUGAGAGGCAUGAAGGGCAGAAGAACUACCAGAUAUGGAGUUUACUGGUGAAGCACUGGAGCAGGUUGCCCAGAGAUGCUGUGGAUGCCCCAUCCCUGGAGGUGCUUGAGGUACUCAAAGACAGGACUGAAUGUGGUCCUGGGCAGACUGACCUAGGAGGUGGCAAACCUGUCCACAGCAGGGGAGUUGAACCUGAAUGAUCUUUAAGGUGCCUUCUAAAGAAGCCAUUCUAAAAUUUGAUGAUUUUUACUGGACUGAAAGAUGUCUUCUCUCAGGAGCAACCUCUGUACUAGCAGGAUCAGAGCUUUUUAGGUUUCACUCAUCCAAACACCACUCAUUCCAGCCCCCCUCUACUCAGUACCAGUAGCCCAGAGGCACAGCAGUUCAGCAGGAAUUUCUGAGUGGGGAUGAGACAGAAAAGAAAAUGAGUAUAAUUCAGAGUAAAUAACAGACGGUAACAGGUGGUUCCACUGCUGAAUGGAUCAAUGGAAAUGGUCUAUUUGCCUAUCAGAAGGACAAUGCUGCUGCCUUUCAAGGCGGGAGAGCCCAUGGGUGCAUGAAGCUCAUGUGUGCAUGAAGCCCAUGUAACCAGAAGACUUGGAUUGAUAUUUUGACAGAAAAAGAAUACCUCUUGCAGUUUCCUAAAGCCAGACUUCUUCACUAAGUAGGUCACCAUGACAGGAACAGGUCAAUAGAACAGUGCAGUUGCUGCUGAGGACCUUGCAGUCAUGCACUGCACAUUUUGGGGAUUAUAAUUCAGACCACUUCAAAUCUGAGCCCCACAUCAAGCACUCUGACUUCAGCAGUUCGGAGGAAAACUAUGUCACACAUCUUUGAUUUCCAGACAGCAAGUAUUUCACCCAGAUACUCAUGGAGGAACCACAUCAUCCUCUUGUCUGUCACGUACAAUAAUGCUAGGCAGUGUCAUGCAUUUCCCUUAUAGGCCUUGUAUUUGGAGUCAAAGCCUUAUUUUUGUUUCUCUUCCUACUUCUGCUCUGCAUCUUUCUGUCUCUGCUUGCUCAGAAGUGCUACCAUGAUGCUUUCAGGAGCCUCCUCUCAUAGUCUCUUCGCAAUACUGUUUUGUCAAUGACCAAUAUGGAAGGAAUUGCAGCGCUUCUUCUUCAGCUGUGGUUGUUACUCCAUGAGGAUACCUCUCCAGAUGAACUGACUUCAGGCUUCUUGGAGACACUUCAGUCUGGGGAGGGAGAAAUACAACUUCUAGCAGUCUCUACCAGCACUGCUGCUUUGUCUCUAGUUUAACACCAUCUGGAGGUGCCAGAAAUAUCUUUGGACAUGAGAUGGCAGAUAUGGUGUGCACAGAACUUUUGAGGCAGAGAGACACAGUCAAAGCCUUCUGCCAUGAGCUUGCUUCAUGACCUCACCAUACUACAAUAUACCAUUACGACUGACCCUCUGUGAUACACCACACUAGUUAUCUUGUUAUAAAACGAGAAUCUUGCAGUAAAAAUGACUAGAGAAUUCCUACAGGAAUAUGUGCUGCUUAUACUUUUCAGCAAACCUACACAUUUAGUUCAAUGCAGUUGGAGUUUUAUAAUCUUCACAAUUUUAAAGGAGAGGAUAGUCCCAUCAUUGCUUUAUUUCAUUUUUAUAAUCUUGCAAAAUGUUGUUACUAUUAAUAACAGAUUCUCUACUGCCUUCUAAAUUAACAGUUUUACUUUGCUUAUCUCAUUUUUGCAGCAUCAUCAACCUGUGUUCAAAAGCACAGGAAGUCUUCCUUUUGAAUAGAAUAUAUCAGCAUCACUGCAGAAUUUCAUUAACUGACACUGAAUUUUUUUUCCCUUAGCAUCUCAGAUAAUAAUUAGGUCUCCAGUGAACACUUUUUAACAUGCAUGCUCUGUGAAGUACGAUGAGCAGUCUGGCACAACCAUUUUCAUAAUUGAGUAGCUAUUAGGAAUUCAUUUACUUCAACAGAAACAUACAACUAGAGGAAAUCUCCAUGGUCCUCUAGUCCAAACUCUUGCUGCUGAAAGAACAGAUAUGACAAUACUCACUGCCAUUCACAAAUUGACAAAGCUUUUAAAAUAUUAAUUGAACUUCUUCCCUUUACUUUCCCAUUGGCAGAAUGCUUCAGAACAUCAAUCCUGUCAUUCUAAUAGUGAAAAUGAAACAACAGGUUGGUUUGUUACCUUCCAUCCUUGUCGUUCAGUACAGCACUGAAUUUAGAUAUUUUAAGUAGUUCCUUUUCAUCAGUUACUCACACAAUCCUUUUCAAAACUCAUUACUUUUGCUCUCAGGUUUUAUUUCUUCUUCACUUAAUGAAUGAAACUCCUCAAAAUAAUCUCAACCACAGCACAGCUUACUAGAGCUAUGCACAGACAAGCUUCUUGAAAUACUAAAGUACAAUUACUCCAGCAACACGGACCUUAACACUGACUAAACACACUGCUUCUCCCAGCCAUACACAAAGACAAACCCUUCACUCUCCUACGUUCCAAGCUCCUACCCAGACUAAUUUUAAUUUAGCUUUCUUCCACACAAUUAACCAAAAGCCACAUGGUUUACAUACAGUCAUACAUACUAGAAUAAAGUACCAAAAUCAAUUCUGAAAUACUACACAAUUAUUCUGCAUGCUACGGAAGAGAACACAUUUUCAAAUACAUGUUUUCUUUAAAGACUGUGACUGCAAUAUAUCAAAACUAUGCAAUAUAUCUAACUAAAAUAUUUAAAACAAACAAGGGAACCUUUAAAAACAUACUUCUCAGCCUAAAGAUUCAGCAAUAUAUUAGAACAUUUCCUCUAUUUCAAGCUCAAGAUGAAGAAUUCCCCACCACUUUUUCUUUCUUCCAAGUAUCAUCAUUUGUGUUCAGUCCUCCCACGUCUUUUAACAGAAGAUAAUAGAGGCCAAGAUCUAUAUCUUCAGAUCUGGCCAGACAUAGCAUUCCCCCACACAGAGCACAGCUUCAGUGGUCCUGUCAUCAAUCUCCAAGGCAGAGAAAGGAAUAUGAAUACUUUCUAAACCUAAUAGCUUGAUGAUACUUGAAAAGAGAUAAAUCACUCUACGAGUAUCUCAUAAAUAUCAUUCAUUUGCAUUGAAAGCAAUAAUAAUUCCAAUACUGUAUAUAAAAAGCUAAAUAGGAGGCUAUUUAUCUAUCACAGAUUAUGGUCAGAAUAAAAACAUAGAAUGAACAGUUAAAAACCUCUGAGAAGAACGAGAUUAGUAGAUAGGCAAAAUAAACUUAAAAGCUAUAAAACACUGUUGGAGAAAAAUGCAGAAUCACACUAAGAUCUUGUAAACUAAAGCUGAGAAUCUGCAUGCAUUUCACUCCUGCAGACACUUGCCCUAGGCUACUAUACUUCUCAGAGAGCGUCUGUGUAAAGAUUUACAAAUUAACUUCACUUAAGUUUCAAGAACUGUUACUUAUCAUUGCAUCUUGUUUUCAACGAGGACAGUCAAAAAACUUAAAUGCUUCAUCUGAAGACUCCAAAUAUUUGCUAACUUGACACUAGUGUUGAUUCCAGGGUGGAGAAAAGACGAAAAAUUAAGGACCCUGGUAGGCCAAUUUCAUGAUAAUUUUGAAGAGAAAACUAUUUUCUUUCUGACUUUUAAAACUCCUUUCUGCCACUUGAGUUUUUACUGGAGCUCUUUCUGUCUAUUUGGUCAUACUAAAAAUACUGCAUCCUAGUUUUUUCUCUACUGAAAGAUGCUGAUAAUCUCCAGCUAGUGGGAAAAAAAAUAGCGCAACUAGGACAUAAACCUACAUCACUGCUACUUCUAUUUAUUUAUUUAUUGGACAGUUACAGCAAAAAAGAGCAGUUUCCUAGUUGCUUACACUUCAGCCUUCAAUAUAUCCUAAUGAACAGACACCAUUAACAAUAAUUAAAUAUUAAAUCCACCCAGGAAAUAGCCACAGCUGAAAAGUGAGAAGCUUGAUGACUUCAACAAGUAGUCUGAACACACGGUGUUUCCUCGAUACUGUAUGCAUUUCUAGCUCUUGGAAGGCCCUGAGUGCGCCUGCAUGCACGAGCAUGCGUAGGAAUGUCGUGUUUCAAAAUAAACAUUAGAAACUUGGGUAAUAAAUAUGUAAUUAUCGUAUGGAUAAAAUCAGAUGCCUAAAAUUCUAUUGCCUCUGAGUAUAAUUACAGUAAUAAAAACAUCGCUGACUGAUGAAGAAAUGUACUAUUUAUGCUGCAGGGAUUGCAAAUCAACGCUUUUUUUUUUUUUUAUAUACCCAGCCACUUAAAAAAAUGCUGUCUUCAAUACAAGAUUUCACUGAUAUCUAAAACAAUUCAUCUCUUCUGGGUUUCUCCUCCCUGUGUUAUCUUUCUUCCAUGAUUUAUACUAUUGUCAUGAUAAUAAUUUCAUCAGUUCAACAUA
This is a long non-coding RNA of Gallus gallus (chicken), 6820 nucleotides long. RefSeq lists it as uncharacterized. The record is from RefSeq and is a predicted model, not a curated record. Lineage: Eukaryota; Metazoa; Chordata; Aves; Galliformes; Phasianidae. The transcript has 2 exons.